CUUUAGCAGAAAUUUUAAUAAUAUGAUAAGAAGAGAAAUAGACUAAAUAGGAAGUGAACUCUGCCACUGACUCUGGGAAAAGUCUGAGCAAACUCUUCAGGGGCAAAUACAGCUUACUCAGACAAAAAAGGCAGUCAGUGGCAAGUCUAGGCAGAAGCCAGGAGGUGUUAGGAACAGACUAGAAGACACGGUUGUUCUGGAGGAAAAAGGGUAAAACUUAAGAGAACUGUAAAAAUUAAGGGACUGCUACUAUGUGCUGUUAAGGAAAUAACAGGCACCUGGGAAAACCCACCAAGUAAGGUUUUGUAAGAAGUUGCUCUGCUCCCCGCGAGAAAAUGCCGAGCUCAACAGGCCAAGAGGAACAAGUCUGGGAAAUUACGACAUGAGAUGUGACCAGAUGUUGAUGACCUCAUGUAAGCUGUGGAAGAAUUCCAUUGUGUCUGGGGAGAUAAUAACCUCUACCAUCAAAACAUGUCUGGCAAGGUCAUCUCUCCUGCCCUGGAGACAUUGCCUACCCUGCUGAUUUCAUAAGGAAUUUGGUAUUACAGUGCCUGGCCCUGUCGUCAGGCUCCCUGGUCACCUCUUCUCUCUGACUUUGGACCUGUCUUAGCAUUCCUUAAAUCCACCCAGGUAUGGUUGGCUCUUCUUUGGUCCCAGCUGACUCAGUCCCACGAUCCUCCCCCAACGUUCCCGCUGGCCUCAGAGCCAGCAUCUUUGCUCUUGCUUUUUUUGCUUCCAACCAGGCAUUCUUCUUGCAUCAAUCUCUGUUUCCAAGAAUUUCUCAUAUAGUGUUGAUGCUCAUGUUCUAUGCUCAUGUUCAAAUACACCCAUAUCUUCCAAACUUGUUAACUUCAUUUGAUUCUUUCCAAUUUUGUAAAGACUCAUUUUGUCUGAGAAUAGCUUUUAUAGCCUCCCUUGUCCCUUAGGUAUGACUCAUCAAUGGAAUCUCCCUGCUUUUCCUUAAGUGUUAGAGUCUAAUGUAACCCCACUGGGAAUUUUCAUAACUUCUUGUCAACUGUGAGGUUUACAAAAUUGUUGAGCUCACUUCCUCAUUUCAGUGAUUGUAGAACUAAGCCCAACAAAGAACCAAAAUUUAGGGUGACAGUCAUUAGGAUGAUUUCUAAACAAAAGUGUGAAUGAUGUUGCUUGCCUGUUGGAGAAUUUAUUCACCACUUCCCUCACCCCAGUAUUGCCCCAUUAGAAACCAACAGACCUUCCAAACAGCCUUCUCCCUUCCAUUCUCCUUUCUCUGCCACAACCCCGUCACCAACAUUUCCGAUCCCCGUGCACUUUUAUUAGUCCAUGAGGCCUCUUCCUGAAGGUCACACUAAGUGUUAACAGUGGUUUAGUGAGUUUCUCCAAACCCACUAGUCUUUAGAGUCUUUAGAAAAGCAAGCAAAUACACUUUUAAAUGGGAAGUGAAUUGAGGCAGGAGUAUUUGCCCUUUAAGUAGGGGAAUUUUGUAACUGGGGACAUGUAGGUAGAGAGUGUGAGAGGUUUAGUGCUUUGCUGUACCCAUCUAACACCUGGACCCAGGCUCAUAUUUCCUUCACUGAUUGUGCCAGACGUUUUAUAUGUUCUUCCAACAGUACCAGUACUGAGCAACAGUACUCAAGUUUAUCUAGAAACGCGAGUUACCACCACAUCCAAGUAAAAGAACCGUCCUCUCUGUCCAGCCUUGUCUGUAUUCCUUGGAAUAUUCCCCACAUUGCAUAACCAUCUUGGAGGAAAACAUGUUCUCUUCCAUUUAUAUAAACUUGUUCUCUUCUGGAGAAAUAGCUCUGUAUUAAAGACACUUGAGGGAAAAUGACAUUACUGAGGAGAUGAUAUUUAGCUGUCCCCCAAAGCCAAUGGGCAGUGAUCCAAAAAAAUUUACGGAAAUAGAAGUAACUCUUUGUAAGCUAACCAAACAGUGGCCUGAACUCUUUUACAUUGUGACUUCUUAUGAGUGCUUAGUUUAGUUGCCUGAAGGUCAAUCUGGAAAUUAACAGGCUAUUUUGGAUUAUAACAAGAUUAUUUAAAGACUCAAACUUUCCAGAGUUCCUUUUAGAUGACUUCUAUCAUGACAAGCAAACCAAAAGGUCAGUGGUCCCAAAGUGGGGUACACAUGAUCUAUUAAGGUACAGAAAAAGGAAAUAACAAAAUAUAUAAAUAUAUUAUUAUUAAUAAAUAUCAUAUUUUUAAAAGAUGUACUUUUGUGAAUGACAUAUUAUUCACAAUGUAUUAAUAACAAUUAUGUAAUUCAUAAAUAAAAUGUGGAUAUACGGUAGUAGUACAUGCUCAAUUUUUUUUAACUAGUAAGAAGGUAGGAUCAAAUGAGUGAGAAUCUGCUGAUUAGGUAACACUUUGGCUAUCAUAUCCUCUUCCCUCUAAUCUAUGCAUUAUCAUAAAGACAGGUUCUAAUGUCUCCUCCCAGAACUAAGAGGACUUUUAAACAUUCUUCCUUCUACAUCGUCAGAACGAUGUAGUUUUAUUUUCACUACCUUUAAAAACAUUAAGGAAAGUAGAGAACAAUAUUCAGAUUAGUUAUAAAAUUAACUUUUCUAUCUCCUUCUAUAAGUUUCUAGGAUUUUGUAUAUUUGGUGUAUAAUAUAUUAAAUGUCAUAUUUUUAUAUGCUUUUGAUCACAAAAGAUUCUUGCUUAAAACAAACAUUUUCUAAAGACAUCAAAGGCCAUAUAGAAAAAUAUAAUAUAAAAAGUAUUUGCAAGCUGGGCAUGGUAGCUCCCCACCCACCUACAGGUGGCUCCCAUGCCUAUAAUACCAGCACCUUGGGAGGCAGAGGUGGGAGGAUCGCUUAAGCCCAGGAGUUUGAGACCA
Sapajus apella (tufted capuchin) is the source of this 2818-nucleotide long non-coding RNA. RefSeq lists it as uncharacterized. The record is from RefSeq and is a predicted model, not a curated record. The transcript has 4 exons. NCBI's taxonomy places the organism in Eukaryota, Metazoa, Chordata, Mammalia, Primates, Cebidae.